AUGGGGGCUCCACCCAAGAAAGCCAAGGCACAGACCAAUGAAAGACAGCUAGUUGUCUUGGGGUACCACCCUCUCCAGGGGACACGAAAUAGGAACCUGUUGAGGGGUUUUAAAGGGCAAGGCUACCCCGAGAUUUCCUCUCGUUCCCGCGAGAUCAUCGACCAUCGGACUGGCUCGUGGGCUGGGCGAGGAGACUACCAUUCCCGAGGUGCGCCGGGGCUAGGCCCGCUCGCCGCCUUCUAUCCUCGCCGCGGCCGACUGUCAACAACUUUAUUUACAAACUUGACGGACAAAAUCCAAGCGCUGGGGCUCCCUCUGGUGGCUGACUCUCAACCUCUUUUAUUCCUUAAAGCGAGGAUGGGGGCGUUGGCUCCGUUCUGGAUGGUCCGCAAAGAGGGGACUGCCCGUAGCUGGGGAGGAGGGGCAACCUGGAGAACGCGCUGUUACGGAAGUGGUCAGAAGGAGCGAACCGAGACCCCAGUGAAAAAUGCCCCUAAUCAUUAAUAAUGAAAGAACUGCCAAUGAAAACAACUGUGUGCUUCCAUCUUAUGUCAGUCAGAUUGGCGAAGAUGACAAGACAAAAUGGCGAUUGUUGGAGACAUCGGGGAAGGGAGGCGUGCUAAUACAUUGUUGGUGGAGCUGUGGAUCAGUAUGGCAGUUUGGAAUCCAAUUUUACCCCCUAGUCCCCAAGUCACUGAUUGUGUGUACCCCAAAGACCAGAAGGACAGGACUAAAAUAUACAAAACCAUAGCAACAACUUUAGCAAAAAAACAAAACCAAAAACAUAUGUAUAUGGAAUGGUUGAACAAAUUGUGGCAUAUUAAUGUGAUGGGAAUUAUUGUUAAAAGAAAUAAGGAAUAUGGGAGAUUAAGAGGAAUUUGAGAAGACUCUUGUGAACUGAGACCCAGUGAAAUGAACAGAACCAGGAAAACAAUGGUAAUGUAAAGAGAAAAAAAAAAAGGACCUUUAAAAGACUUCAGAACUCUGGUCUGCCACUGACUAAUUAGUUCUGAUUUAGGGGACUGUGUGGGAUGCCACUCAAAUUAAAAAACACACUUAGAGUUUUUUCAAGGAGAAACAGAAAGUUAAUUUAUUUACUAUUCAAGAGAAUAGGGUGUCACUCCACCAGAAUGCUCUGAUGAGGGGAGACAGACUACAGAUGCAGAAGAACCAGAUUAAAGAGCCCUAAUGGGCAAAUCCCCCCUCCCACCAACUGGCCAAUGUUUUGGCUCACAAUCUGUGGAAACAGAAAACAAAACAAAGAGAACAGUAUACAUGUCUCUAUUUAGCCCCUUAGUUUGCUGAAGUAAUCCCAGAGAAGCAAUUAAAGAUGUGCAGUCAAGCUAGACAUGGUACUGUACAGCCAGGUCACCGUGACGGAAAUAUAGCAACAGGUACAACAAGAUGGGGGGGGGGCUUCUUCAGGAGUUUCAGGCUCGGCAAACUUUAACUACUGAUAUAACAAUGGCAUAGGAAGGGGGGGUACUUGGGGUUGGAUUCCCGUGACUCAGGUGAUUUCUAGUAAACCGAAACUUAGGCAUGUUGGACUUCUAUGCCUGCCUUGAGUCACCAUACAAUUUCUAUUUAUUCUUCUAAAAAGUCUUCACAGGACCCCUCAUCCCACUUAAUUACACCGAGGAGUCUUCACUGGGACACCCCAUCGAGGACUGACCGUGAAGCCUGACUCCCUCCACAUGAGCAAGGGGUGGAUGUCACCUGUUCAUGUCCAACUACGGUCAAUGGGUUUAUUCGUUUUCCUUGUUUAUUAUAAGGGGGAGGGAGCUUCUUUCCUGGUGGCAAGAUAAGUUAGUGGAUAAUGACAGCACCAAGUAUUGAUAAAACACCAACAAUGUGCAGAGGAAAGUGAAAAAUCCAGGAGACACAAAGAGGGCGAUUUUGUUACCACUUUGUUACAUUUGAUGUCGUUUAGCGGGGUUUUUUUGGCGAAGAUACUGGAAUGGUUUGCCAUUUCCUUCUCCAAUGUGUUCCCAUUUUACAGAUGAGGAACUGAGGCAAAGAGGAGUUAAGUAACUUGCCCAGGGCUGGAACAGCUGGAUUUGAAUGCAGAUCUUCCAGAUGCCAGGCCCACUGCUCUACCACUGAACCACCUAGCUACAUUUGCUAUAUACUUACAAAGCAAACAAAUGCCAAACUGCUAACUGAACUGCAUUUUCAUAUACCCUCCUCUUUAAGAGGGGGUUCUUUGUGCACUGGAAUGUUAGUGUUCAUUGAUGACUAAGUUCAUAAUUUUAAAAAAGACAUUAAUUCAGAGCCUAUGAUGUUCCGGGGACUUCAACAGACGCUGGAAAUAUCAGUGGAGACAAAAAGAAAGACAAAAAGGAAAUACAGCACUUGCCCUCUAGGACCUUCCAUUCUGGGAGGAGGGGAGGUGGAACAGCACAAACACUGGGAAUGCCAAAUACAUGCUAAUAAAUCCCAAAGACCAAAGGCCUCGACGGACCUG
RNAcentral lists this long non-coding RNA (2464 nucleotides) under Phascolarctos cinereus (koala). Its description in RNAcentral is "lncRNA (ENSPCIG00000035314.1)". Lineage: Eukaryota; Metazoa; Chordata; Mammalia; Diprotodontia; Phascolarctidae. The record is from RNAcentral.